AAACCAGGCUUCUUACAGGGAGAUUUGGUGCUUUCUCAGAUGUUUCCUAUCAGCCUUCGCGCCUUCUCAGGUGGUGGCGAUGCUCUGAUGGCAGAGGAGAAUCCUUUUCAGACCAUCUUGGUGCUCUCUCUUGUCACUGAGAGUGAAUAUUUCAGGGGAUAAGAGGAGAAGGGGUUUUUGUUUCUGGGAUGCUGCAUUUUUACUCUAUUAAGGGCAUCAAGCUGGCGUUUGUAGACCUUGAAAUAAAACAAGAGUUCAUCUUCAGGACGGGAUAAGGACAUUUUGUGCAUGAAUUUGGCCCUGCAGAGCCGGGAUGCCGACAAGCAACGGGGCUGGGGUACAUUUUGCACGACGCAGCCGUGAGAGCGGAGGCUGCGAUAGCACAUCUGAGCCACGCAGAACCCAAAGGCACGUCUCUUUCACAACCGCGUCCCUUCAGCGGGGAUUGAGGAAAACAAAACCUUUGCCUGCCAAUUUGGUUUCCAUUCCUGGCUGACCUGCAGGCUGCCCUCGUGGCUUGGAGCAGCUCUGCUCUUGGACGCUUGCUCUUUACUUCUAAUUCUGAUGCUUUGCUUCGUGCUGCGGUGGAUGUAGCAUCGUGUCCCGUGGCGAGGCGAUGCUGUCCUGGGAAGCUCUUCCCUCCGUGUUUGCUGUUUAGGGGGCAGUUGCUCUCCUCUUCCAGCAGCUUUCUCCAUGAGCCCGGAGCAUUUGGUGCAUCUCAAGUGGCAGUUCCCUGCAGGUCAGAAGCGUUUGGCUGCAAAUCCCUGUUUGUGGAUGCUCACGGGGGUGCUGCACCAUCAGUUCAUGAGAAGAAAAAGAAUUAAAAGAGCCAGGUGUUGCAUGAGGCCAGGGAAUUCAGGAAUUCCCACCUGUCCUGGAAUAACACCUGGCCUUUGUGUCGUGGGCUUGUGGAAGGGGAAGAGGUGGGGACAGAUCCUCAGGGCCAGAAGGGUCCCAUGUCCCGAGUCAACCCUGAAGCAUCCUCUCGACCUCUCUGGAGACAGGACAAGUCUUUAGCACCUUGCUUUUCACCUUGGAAGGCGUGGAUCUCCCCUUCCUGCCAUCUCCGUGCGCUCUGGCCACCAGGCAUCACCUCCCAGGUCCGUGCAGAGCCCACGGUGACUCCGGCACAAGCGCGAAGUGCCGGUCUUUGCUUUAUCCUCAUGCCAGGGGCGCUGGCAAAGCUUCCAAACUGUGCUUCGAAUCAGUUUGGAGUCACAUUACGUUAUUUCUGGCUUGGCUGAAAGAAGUUUAUCCAGAUUCAGUGCUGCUGUCUCCUGUCAGACAGAGCACGCUGCCCCUCUCCGCUCUGCACCCGGGGGAGAAGCGUGCAGAGCCCCCGCCGUGCCCCAAAUCCCUCGGCCACCAGCGCAUCCUUUCCCUGUAGGUGACAUGAAAAACGUGCCUCUGUUUUGAAAAAAAAAUCUAUUUCUUUGAAGACUUUGAGCCGGUGAUAUAGAAGGGAAGUGAAAAGGAAGCGUUUUUUGAGGGGGAACUGCGGGAGGUGAGCCAAAGGUGCUUUUCUGCCCCCGCCACGGGCAGUUUGUGGCAGGAGCGCCUUCCCAGCUCAGCUCCUUCUUUCCCUUGGGUCCCUGGGGACAGCGGUGCUGGGUUUUGGUGCACCUUCGUGUCCUCGCCACCCUGCUCGGUGGCGAUGGGGACGUGAGCGAGCACCUGGGCUUGGUUUCCUCUUGGUUUCGGAGGCGCAAAGUGUGUGUGCCGGGGCGCUGGGAGGGCGUUCCCGGCGCAGCUGUGUUGCUUGU
Molecule: non-coding RNA, 1763 nt
Organism: Anas platyrhynchos (mallard)
Lineage: Eukaryota; Metazoa; Chordata; Aves; Anseriformes; Anatidae
Source: RefSeq, a predicted model, not a curated record